This 1299-nucleotide ribosomal RNA is filed under the name uncultured bacterium. RNAcentral's name for it is "bacterial SSU rRNA". It matches the Rfam family "Bacterial small subunit ribosomal RNA", at positions 28 to 1335 of the family's 1533-position model. The record is from RNAcentral.
GAUGAACGCUGGCGGCGUGCUUAACACAUGCAAGUCGAACGAUGAAGCCCAGCUUGCUGGGUGGAUUAGUGGCGAACGGGUGAGUAACACGUGAGUAACCUGCCCUUAACUCUGGGAUAAGCCUGGGAAACUGGGUCUAAUACCGGAUAGGAGCGUCCACCGCAUGGUGGGUGUUGGAAAGAUUUAUCGGUUUUGGAUGGACUCGCGGCCUAUCAGCUUGUUGGUGAGGUAAUGGCUCACCAAGGCGACGACGGGUAGCCGGCCUGAGAGGGUGACCGGCCACACUGGGACUGAGACACGGCCCAGACUCCUACGGGAGGCAGCAGUGGGGAAUAUUGCACAAUGGGCGCAAGCCUGAUGCAGCGACGCCGCGUGAGGGAUGACGGCCUUCGGGUUGUAAACCUCUUUCAGUAGGGAAGAAGCGAAAGUGACGGUACCUGCAGAAGAAGCACCGGCUAACUACGUGCCAGCAGCCGCGGUAAUACGUAGGGUGCGAGCGUUAUCCGGAAUUAUUGGGCGUAAAGAGCUCGUAGGCGGUUUGUCGCGUCUGUCGUGAAAGUCCGGGGCUUAACCCCGGAUCUGCGGUGGGUACGGGCAGACUAGAGUGCAGUAGGGGAGACUGGAAUUCCUGGUGUAGCGGUGGAAUGCGCAGAUAUCAGGAGGAACACCGAUGGCGAAGGCAGGUCUCUGGGCUGUAACUGACGCUGAGGAGCGAAAGCAUGGGGAGCGAACAGGAUUAGAUACCCUGGGAGUCCAUGCCGUAAACGUUGGGCACUAGGUGUGGGGACCAUUCCACGGUUUCCGCGCCGCAGCUAACGCAUUAAGUGCCCCGCCUGGGGAGUACGGCCGCAAGGCUAAAACUCAAAGGAAUUGACGGGGGCCCGCACAAGCGGCGGAGCAUGCGGAUUAAUUCGAUGCAACGCGAAGAACCUUACCAAGGCUUGACAUGUUCUCGAUCGCCGUAGAGAUACGGUUUCCCCUUUGGGGCGGGUUCACAGGUGGUGCAUGGUUGUCGUCAGCUCGUGUCGUGAGAUGUUGGGUUAAGUCCCGCAACGAGCGCAACCCUCGUUCCAUGUUGCCAGCACGUAAUGGUGGGGACUCAUGGGAGAUUGCCGGGGUCAACUCGGAUGAAGGUGAGGACGACCUCAAAUCAUCAUGCCCCUUAUGUCUUGGGCUUCACCCAUGCCACAAUGGCCGGUACUAUGGGUUGCCAUACUGUGAGGUGGAGCUAAUCCCCAAAAAGCCGGUCUCAGUUUCGGAUUGGGGGCCGGCAACUUCACCCCUUGAAGCUCGAAUCGC